Molecule: non-coding RNA, 73 nt
Organism: Halocaridina rubra (Hawaiian volcano shrimp)
Lineage: Eukaryota; Metazoa; Arthropoda; Malacostraca; Decapoda; Atyidae
Source: the annotation of a GenBank genome assembly
ACCUUAAGUGGUGUAGUUGGUAGCACCUUGGCACAGUAAUACUGUGUCCUAGGUUCGAGUCCCGGUUGGGGUA